RNAcentral lists this ribosomal RNA (253 nucleotides) under uncultured bacterium. RNAcentral describes it as "partial 16S ribosomal RNA". It matches the Rfam family "Archaeal small subunit ribosomal RNA", at positions 474 to 727 of the family's 1478-position model. The record is from RNAcentral.
UACCAGCACCCCGAGUGGUCGGGACGAUUAUUGGGCCUAAAGCAUCCGUAGCCGGUUCUGCGAGUCCCCCGUUAAAUCCAGCUGCUCAACAGAUGGGCCGCGGAGGAUACUCCAGAGCUAGGAGGCAGGAGAGGCAAGCGGUACUCAGUGGGUAGGGGUAAAAUCCGUUGAUCCAUUGAAGACCACCAGUGGCGAAGGCGGCUUGCCAGAAUGCGCUCGACGGUGAGGGAUGAAAGCUGGGGGAGCAAACCGG